GACGAACGCUGGCGGCGUGCCUAACACAUGCAAGUCGAACGGGGUGAAGCCCUUCGGGACUUCACUUAGUGGCGAACGGGUGAGUAACGCGUGAGGAACCUGCCUUUCAGUGGGGGACAACAGUUGGAAACGACUGCUAAUACCGCAUAACACUUUUUGGGGACAUCCCUGAAAAGUCAAAGCUUUAUGUGCUGAAAGAUGGCCUCGCGUCUGAUUAGCUGGUUGGCGGGGUAACGGCCCACCAAGGCGACGAUCAGUAGCCGGUCUGAGAGGAUGAACGGCCACAUUGGGACUGAGAUACGGCCCAGACUCCUACGGGAGGCAGCAGUGGGGAAUAUUGGGCAAUGGGGGAAACCCUGACCCAGCAACGCCGCGUGAAGGAAGAAGGCCCUCGGGUUGUAAACUUCUUUUGUCAGGGACGAGUAGAAGACGGUACCUGACGAAUAAGCCACGGCUAACUACGUG
RNAcentral lists this ribosomal RNA (465 nucleotides) under uncultured bacterium. Its description in RNAcentral is "bacterial SSU rRNA". It matches the Rfam family "Bacterial small subunit ribosomal RNA", at positions 28 to 507 of the family's 1533-position model. The record is from RNAcentral.